GAGUUGCGAACGGGUGAGUAACGCGUAGGUAACCUGCCUGGUAGCGGGGGAUAACUAUUGGAAACGAUAGCUAAUACCGCAUAAAAGUCGACAUCGCAUGAUGUUGAUUUGAAAGGUGCAAAUGCAUCACUAAGAGAUGGACCUGCGUUGUAUUAGCUAGUUGGUGAGGUAACGGCUCACCAAGGCGACGAUACAUAGCCGACCUGAGAGGGUGAUCGGCCACACUGGGACUGAGACACGGCCCUUACUCC
Molecule: ribosomal RNA, 251 nt
Filed under: uncultured Streptococcus sp.
Lineage: Bacteria; Bacillati; Bacillota; Bacilli; Lactobacillales; Streptococcaceae
Description: partial 16S ribosomal RNA
Rfam family: Bacterial small subunit ribosomal RNA
Source: RNAcentral